ACUCCUACGGGAGGCAGCAGUGGGGAAUAUUGCACAAUGGGCGCAAGCCUGAUGCAGCCAUGCCGCGUGUAUGAAGAAGGCCUUCGGGUUGUAAAGUACUUUCAGCAGUGAGGAAGGCAGGUACGUUAAUAGCGUGCUUGUUUGACGUUAGCUGCAGAAGAAGCACCGGCUAACUCCGUGCCAGCAGCCGCGGUAAUACGGAGGGUGCGAGCGUUAAUCGGAAUUACUGGGCGUAAAGCGCAUGCAGGUGGUUUGUUAAGUCAGAUGUGAAAGCCCGGGGCUCAACCUCGGAAUUGCAUUUGAAACUGGCAGACUAGAGUACUGUAGAGGGGGGUAGAAUUUCAGGUGUAGCGGUGAAAUGCGUAGAGAUCUGAAGGAAUACCGGUGGCGAAGGCGGCCCCCUGGACAGAUACUGACACUCAGAUGCGAAAGCGUGGGGAGCAAACAGGAUUAGACUACCGUGGU
Molecule: ribosomal RNA, 465 nt
Filed under: uncultured bacterium
Lineage: Bacteria
Description: bacterial SSU rRNA
Rfam family: Bacterial small subunit ribosomal RNA
Source: RNAcentral